RNA transcript from Rhodamnia argentea, 1191 nucleotides. It is a transcript of the gene named adventurous-gliding motility protein Z, with no coding region annotated. The record is from RefSeq and is a predicted model, not a curated record. The transcript has 9 exons. NCBI's taxonomy places the organism in Eukaryota, Viridiplantae, Streptophyta, Magnoliopsida, Myrtales, Myrtaceae.
AUUUGAUCGUUCAGUCCAUCGUCAUCCGUCGCUUUGUUAAUUCUCAAAAAGAGGCGCGAAAAAGCAGAGGGAGAGGGGGAGAGAGAGAGAAGAGCGGCCAUGGCGGUUGCAGGUACUGAUGCACAGAAGCAGCUCCUGACUCUGAUUCGCGACUUCGCCUCCGAGAAAUCGCAAGGAGAGCGAAGAGUAGCUGAUCUGAGGAAACAAAUUGAGGAGCUGCGAUCGGCGCUGGAUGCGGCUAACGCAGAACUCGAAGGCACGAAGCUCCGUAGAGAGACUGCUGAGCAAGAGCUGAAAGGCUAUGAAGUUGAAUUGGCUGUGAACGAAUCCGCUAUUCAGACUCUUGAGGCUAGGAUUUCCACCAUUCAGAAGGAGAUAUCUACUGUUCGGUCAGAUCUACAGGAUCUGAAGAGUAAAGACAGCGAAUCUAGAGACGAGUUCAUCAACAAGAUGUUUGAGUUGAAUGCCAAAAUAAGGAAUUUCCAAAAGACAGCACUCAGAGAUGUUGGUAAAGAGGAUAUAAUCGGAAAUUUGUCCGAAGAUAGCUGCCUAUCUGUGAAGGAGGAUGUUCAUAGGACAGCUGACAGAGCUCUUGAGUAUAAACUGGCUCAUGUGAUAACUGAACUGACUAAGGAAGAAGAGAUGCUUCAAGUUGAGCAGAAUAUGCAAAAGCAGGUCCAGCAAGAAUUGAUCGAUUUGGAAAUGAAAGUGCUGUCAAUGGAGGCAAUUGCGAAGACGACAAGAGAUUUGCAGGUCCUGACUAGAUAUCCUUCCCUGAAAGUAGAUCAUGCAUUGUUAAGUAGACAACAUUUGCUCUAAGCGUCAUGCAUACCAAUGCGAAGAAAGCACAUGCUCCAAAAUCUCUAGUAGCCAUCAUAUUUAACAAAAUUCAUGACCUGUUCCCUUAUUUGUGUAUAGAUUGGAGGCAUACAUAUACAGAUAACCAAGUCAUGUAGUCACAUUACAUUGUAAAUGUCAAGGACUGCCAUUUAUGAAGAGUAGUUUAUCUUUGCAUGGAGAUGAAGCAUCGAAUAGGACGAUGUUAAGGAAGAUAGUUGAACUUUUUUACCUUGACGGAAACAAGCAGAGUUCCCAGUUAGAACAGAAGUAUUCUGGCCUAGCUGGGGAGCUCCAAAGGAGGAGUAUGUGUCCUUCUUGUUUUUGGAGUUGGAUUGAAGGUGCUGUAGAUGU